AGUGAACGCUGGCGGUAGGCCUAACACAUGCAAGUCGAACGGCAGCACAGAGGAGCUUGCUCCUUGGGUGGCGAGUGGCGGACGGGUGAGGAAUACAUCGGAAUCUACUCUGUCGUGGGGGAUAACGUAGGGAAACUUACGCUAAUACCGCAUACGACCUACGGGUGAAAGCAGGGGAUCUUCGGACCUUGCGCGAUUGAAUGAGCCGAUGUCGGAUUAGCUAGUUGGCGGGGUAAAGGCCCACCAAGGCGACGAUCCGUAGCUGGUCUGAGAGGAUGAGCAGCCACACUGGAACUGAGACACGGUCCAGACUCCUACGGGAGGCAGCAGUGGGGAAUAUUGGACAAUGGGCGCAAGCCUGAUCCAGCCAUACCGCGUGGGUGAAGAAGGCCUUCGGGUUGUAAAGCCCUUUUGUUGGGAAAGAAAUCCAUCUGGUUAAUACCCGGGUGGGAUGACGGUACCCAAAGAAUAAGCACCGGCUAACUUCGUGCCAGCCGCAGUAAAAC
This 506-nucleotide ribosomal RNA is filed under the name uncultured bacterium. RNAcentral describes it as "partial 16S ribosomal RNA". It matches the Rfam family "Bacterial small subunit ribosomal RNA", at positions 29 to 526 of the family's 1533-position model. The record is from RNAcentral.